This 64-nucleotide transfer RNA is filed under the name bacterium. Its description in RNAcentral is "tRNA-Arg". The record is from RNAcentral.
CUCGAGUCACCACGGUCCGGUCUACGAAACCGGCGGUUGAAGGUUCGAGUCCUUCCACUCGCGU